Molecule: ribosomal RNA, 548 nt
Filed under: uncultured Glomeromycotina
Lineage: Eukaryota; Fungi; Glomeromycota
Description: SSU rRNA
Rfam family: Eukaryotic small subunit ribosomal RNA
Source: RNAcentral
UUGGAGGGCAAGUCUGGUGCCAGCAGCCGCGGUAAUUCCAGCUCCAAUAGCGUAUAUUAAAGUUGUUGCAGUUAAAAAGCUCGUAGUUGAAUUUCGAGACCGGUUUACUGGUCGUGCUUUUGUACGUACUGGUAUUAUUGGUUUCUCCUUUCUGACGAAUCUUGAUGCCAUUAAUUUGGUGUUUUGGGGAAUCAGGACUGUUACUUUGAAAAAAUUAGAGUGUUUAAAGCAGGCUCACGCUUGAAUACAUUAGCAUGGAAUAACGGAAUAGGACGUUUGAUUUUAUUUUGUUGGUUUCUAGGAUCGACGUAAUGAUUAAUAGGGAUAGUUGGGGGCAUUAGUAUUCAAUUGUCAGAGGUGAAAUUCUUGGAUUUAUUGAAGACUAACUACUGCGAAAGCAUUUGCCAAGGAUGUUUUCAUUAAUCAAGAACGAAAGUUAGGGGAUCGAAGACGAUCAGAUACCGUCGUAGUCUUAACCAUAAACUAUGCCGACUAGGGAUCGGAUGAUGUUAAUUUUUUAAUGACUCAUUCGGCGCCUUACGGGAAAC